This 448-nucleotide ribosomal RNA is filed under the name uncultured bacterium. RNAcentral describes it as "bacterial SSU rRNA". It matches the Rfam family "Bacterial small subunit ribosomal RNA", at positions 331 to 793 of the family's 1533-position model. The record is from RNAcentral.
CCAGACUCCUACGGGAGGCAGCAGUGGGGAAUAUUGGGCAAUGGGCGCAAGCCUGACCCAGCAACGCCGCGUGAAGGAAGAAGGCUUUCGGGUUGUAAACUUCUUUUCUCAGGGACGAAGCAAGUGACGGUACCUGAGGAAUAAGCCACGGCUAACUACGUGCCAGCAGCCGCGGUAAUACGUAGGUGGCAAGCGUUAUCCGGAUUUACUGGGUGUAAAGGGCGUGUAGGCGGGACUGCAAGUCAGAUGUGAAAACCACGGGCUCAACCUGUGGCCUGCAUUUGAAACUGUAGUUCUUGAGUACUGGAGAGGCAGACGGAAUUCCUAGUGUAGCGGUGAAAUGCGUAGAUAUUAGGAGGAACACCAGUGGCGAAGGCGGUCUGCUGGACCGUGACUGACGUUGAGGCUCGAGAGCGUGGGGAGCAAACAGGAUUAGAUACCCGCGUAC